RNAcentral lists this small nucleolar RNA (161 nucleotides) under Salmo salar (Atlantic salmon). RNAcentral describes it as "Small nucleolar RNA U3". It matches the Rfam family "Small nucleolar RNA U3", at positions 1 to 159 of the family's 219-position model. From Rfam's summary of the family: Small nucleolar RNAs (snoRNAs) are involved in the processing and modification of rRNA in the nucleolus. There are two main classes of snoRNAs: the box C/D class, and the box H/ACA class. U3 snoRNA is a member of the box C/D class. Lineage: Eukaryota; Metazoa; Chordata; Actinopteri; Salmoniformes; Salmonidae. The record is from Rfam by way of RNAcentral.
AAGACUAUACUUUCAGGAAUCAUUUCUAUAGUUCGUUACUUGAGAAAUGUGUGUCUAAAGUGGUAGGUCUCGCUAUCCAUGAUGACGAUUCAAGAUAUUCCCGUUCAGAACAUGAAUCUGGUGGCUAGAAAUGACUUUGCUCAUGUUUCUUCCACCUUUUG